Long non-coding RNA from Triticum dicoccoides, 155 nucleotides. RefSeq lists it as uncharacterized. The transcript has 3 exons. The record is from RefSeq and is a predicted model, not a curated record. NCBI's taxonomy places the organism in Eukaryota, Viridiplantae, Streptophyta, Magnoliopsida, Poales, Poaceae.
GUACAUGUGUGACCUCGGCCUCAAUCUCUGCAAAUACACCUCAAAUGCACACUUCAGAUACAUGUGUGACCUCUACGGCCCCAAUCUCUGCAAAUACACCUCAAACACACGCUUCAGCAGGAGCAUCUGCCAACAAACAAGGUGGGAAAGGAUGG